This 442-nucleotide long non-coding RNA is filed under the name Panax ginseng (ginseng). RNAcentral's name for it is "long non-coding RNA (PGIN_LNC011742)". Lineage: Eukaryota; Viridiplantae; Streptophyta; Magnoliopsida; Apiales; Araliaceae. The record is from RNAcentral.
UGAUGAUGAUGAUGAUGAUGAUCGAGGAAGGAGGUCAAAGACGAAGAAAGAUAAGAAAAAGAAGAGAUUAUAUCCUGAAUCAAGUUCACCUGAUAAGAAAAAGAAGCGAAAAUAUAAUGAAUCAAGUUCACCUGACAAGAAAAAGAAGAGAAAAUAUUCUGAAUCAAGUUCACCUGAUAAGAAAAAGAAGCGAAAAUAUAAUGAAUCAAGUUCACCUGACAAGAAAAAGAAGAGAAAAUAUUCUGAAUCAAGUUCAGCUGAUAAGAAAAAGAAGCAAGAAUAUUCUGAACCAAGUUCACCUGAAAAAAAGAGGAAGCGAAAAUAUUCUGAAUCAAGUUCACCUGACAAUUCUAAGGUUGAUAGGCAGCACAGGAGCAGGCACAGGCGACAUUAUUCAAGUUCAUCUGACAGUUCAGAUUCCGAUAGGAAACAUAGAAGUAAG